CUGGGGCCUAGUGUCUGCGUGGUGAAGCCACCUACUCUGGUGGCCACAUUCUCCUUUUAUUAUUUUCUUCUCUUUUAUAUGAUAGGACAGAGAGAAACUGGCAGGGGAGAUAAGGAGAGAGACAGAGAGAUUCCUGCAGCACUGUUUCACUGCUCCUGAAGCUUCAGGUCUUGCAGACCUGGGGCCUUGUGACAGCAGGAUCUCACUGCUCAAGAGCUGGCUUUUUCAUCAAGACGGACUGGAGGAGAGAGGUUCUCCCAGUGCUGUGGCACUCCACCGUGGUGCUGGGGUCUGAACCUGGGCCGUGUGCGUCACAAGGCUUGUGCUCUACCUGCCUUCACAGUGACAAGCCAGAUGCCCGGCUCAGCUUAGUGUGAACAGACGCCUCAGUGUAAAUGCUGCUGAGCCAAACCUGAUUUACGACCACAUAACCAGACUCUCGACCCACCCAUCAGUGGCCAUUAGCCUUCCUGAGACGACAUGGCAUUUCUCAAGUUCUAAGAUGGUGGCUCAGGGUGAAGGCCUUGAAUAAAUCACAGUGAGAGCAGUCGUGUCCCAGCUGGAGAGCUGGGAGAAGCCACCCUGGAAGGGCUGGAGCCAUGUAAGGCUUGCUCUGUGUCACAGAGAGCAGCAGACCGCAAGCAUAAAGGACACACCUGGAUGUCUUCAGCCAAGGCCCUGUGCACGGGAGCAGUGCUGCAGUGACAGCCACCCUGCUGACAUGUUUGUCACCCCUGUCCUGGAAGCUUGUGUUCAGGAGGUGGUAGGCACCCGCCCAGCUGCCUGGAGCUAUGAGCACCGCGGAUUUCAAAAGGGAAAAGAUGGUUCUAAUUAAAGCAUCUCUAA
This is a long non-coding RNA of Erinaceus europaeus (western European hedgehog), 846 nucleotides long. RefSeq lists it as uncharacterized. The transcript is spliced from 4 exons. NCBI's taxonomy places the organism in Eukaryota, Metazoa, Chordata, Mammalia, Eulipotyphla, Erinaceidae. The record is from RefSeq and is a predicted model, not a curated record.